This 101-nucleotide ribosomal RNA is filed under the name uncultured bacterium. RNAcentral's name for it is "partial 16S ribosomal RNA". It matches the Rfam family "Bacterial small subunit ribosomal RNA", at positions 1384 to 1482 of the family's 1533-position model. The record is from RNAcentral.
UACACACCGCCCGUCACACCAUGGGAGUGGGUUCUACCAGAAGUGGCUAGUCGUAACCGCAAGGAGGACGGUCACCACGGUAGGAUUCAAUGACUGGGGUG